ACGGGGUGCAGCAGGCGCGAAAACUUCACAAUGUGGGAAACCGCGAUGAGGGGAUUCCAAGUGCUUGCGUUUUGCGUAAGCUGUUCUCCUGCCUAAAAAGCAGGGGGAGUAAGGGCUGGGUAAGACGGGUGCCAGCCGCCGCGGUAAUACCCGCAGCCCAAGUGGUGGUCGAUAUUAUUGAGCUUAAAGCGUCCGUAGCCUGUCUGGUAAAUUCUUGGGUAAAUCGUGCAGCUUAACUGUCCGAAUUCCGGGGAGACUGCCAGACUUGGGACCGGGAGAGGUUGGAGGUACUCCUGGGGUAGGGGUAAAAUCCCGUAAUCCUGGGAGGACCAUCAGUGGCGAAGGCGUCCAACUGGAACGGAUCCGACGGUCAGGGACGAAGCCCUGGGUCGCGAACUGGAUUAGAUACCCAGGUAGUCCAGGGUGUAAACGCUGCAGACUUGGUGUCGGAGGUCCUACGAGGGCGUCCGGUGCCGGAGAGAAAUUGUUAAGUCUGCCGCUUGGGGAGUACGUCCGCAAGG
RNAcentral lists this ribosomal RNA (521 nucleotides) under uncultured archaeon. RNAcentral's name for it is "bacterial SSU rRNA". It matches the Rfam family "Archaeal small subunit ribosomal RNA", at positions 325 to 848 of the family's 1478-position model. The record is from RNAcentral.